CCCUUAGAUGUUCUGGGCCGCACGCGCGCUACACUGAUGAAUGCAACGAGCUCUACCCUUGACCGAAAGGCCCGGGUAAACUUGUGAAACUUCAUCGUGAUGGGGAUAGAUUAUUGCAAUUAUUAAUCUUCAACGAGGAAUUCCUAGUAAGCGCGAGUCAUCAGCUCGCGUUGAUUACGUCCCUGCCCUUUGUACACACCGCCCGUCGCUCCUACCGAUUGAAUGGUCCGGUGAAAUCUUCGGAUUGCUGACCAAGAUCCAGCAAUGGAGCUUGGUUGCGAGAAGUUGAUUAAACCUUAUUAUUUAGAGGAAGGAGAAGCCGUAACA
This 327-nucleotide ribosomal RNA is filed under the name uncultured eukaryote. RNAcentral describes it as "partial 18S ribosomal RNA". It matches the Rfam family "Eukaryotic small subunit ribosomal RNA", at positions 1470 to 1796 of the family's 1831-position model. The record is from RNAcentral.